This is an RNA transcript of Cylas formicarius (sweet potato weevil), 442 nucleotides long. RefSeq lists it as uncharacterized. The transcript is spliced from 2 exons. The record is from RefSeq and is a predicted model, not a curated record. NCBI's taxonomy places the organism in Eukaryota, Metazoa, Arthropoda, Insecta, Coleoptera, Brentidae.
UUUGAUAAUAGUUCGGACAUCUUAAAAAUGCUAAUCAAUGAUUCGCCUAUAUGAAUAGGUCAAAAACGCUUCAUAAAUUACCUUCAAAUAAUAAAGUCUACUGAAAGAAUAUGCCUAGACUAUUGCUUGGACGAUUGGAGGGGAGAAUGCAGACGCUCCGACCCUACCACCUACAGUCAACACCACGGACAAUUUUGCUUCUAUGUAUAUGUUGAGAAUUCUACUAUCGUUCCCUCGUCGAAGCAAAGAAAAAUCAACAGGUUUUUCGAAGAAGCGCUUCAUAUUCUUGUCGAAAGCGAAGAGCCAGCGCGCCACCACCAAAAUCAUUCCAGGAAGCGGCGUACCCGUCUGAUUUAAACUUUUUUUUUGAAGUGUCUCUAACGCGAAAUUUCCGGUACGCCCGACGCUGAAUCCUAGACGGGAGUUUUAAUAUUGUGAUAAA